Molecule: ribosomal RNA, 505 nt
Filed under: uncultured bacterium
Lineage: Bacteria
Description: partial 16S ribosomal RNA
Rfam family: Bacterial small subunit ribosomal RNA
Source: RNAcentral
GACGAACGCUGGCGGCGUGCCUAAUACAUGCAAGUAGAACGCACAGUUUAUACCGUAGCUUGCUACACCAUAGACUGUGAGUUGCGAACGGGUGAGUAACGCGUAGGUAACCUGCCUGGUAGCGGGGGAUAACUAUUGGAAACGAUAGCUAAUACCGCAUAAUAUUAAUUAUUGCAUGAUAAUUAAUUGAAAGGUGCAAUUGCACCACUACCAGAUGGACCUGCGUUGUAUUAGCUAGUAGGUGAGGUAACGGCUCACCUAGGCGACGAUACAGAGCCGAACUGAGAAGGUGAUCGGCCACACUGGGACUGAGACACGGCCCAGACGCCUACGGGAGGCAGCAGGAGGGAAUCUUCGGCAAUAGACGAAAGUCUGACCGAGCAACGCCGCGGGAGUGAAGAAGGUUGUCGGAUCGUAAAGCUCUGUUGUAAGAGAAGAACGGGUGUGAGAGUGGAAAGUUCACACUGUGACGGUAUCUGACCAGAAAGGGACGGCUAACUACGUG